RNAcentral lists this ribosomal RNA (423 nucleotides) under uncultured bacterium. RNAcentral's name for it is "bacterial SSU rRNA". It matches the Rfam family "Bacterial small subunit ribosomal RNA", at positions 358 to 773 of the family's 1533-position model. The record is from RNAcentral.
GGAAUAUUGGACAAUGGGGGAAACCCUGAUCCAGCGACGCCGCGUGUGUGAAGAAGGCCUGCGGGUUGUAAAGCACUUUCGAUGGGAACGAAAUGUGCCGGGCUAAUACCCCGGCAAGCUGACGUUACUCAAUGAAGAAGCACCGGCUAACUACGUGCCAGCAGCCGCGGUAAUACGUAGGGUGCAAGCGUUAAUCGGAAUUACUGGGCGUAAAGCGUGCGCAGGCGGUUGUGCAAGACAGAUGUGAAAUCCCCGGGCUUAACCUGGGAACUGCAUUUGUGACUGUACGGCUGGAGUGCGGCAGAGGGGGAUGGAAUUCCGCGUGUAGCAGUGAAAUGCGUAGAUAUGCGGAGGAACACCGAUGGCGAAGGCAAUCCCCUGGGCCUGCACUGACGCUCAUGCACGAAAGCGUGGGGAGCAAAC